AGGUAAGAUCUUAUACGCUCGAUUCUAUGAUUCAUUGGCAGUUGUAGUACCUUUAGUAAGAAUCUAAAUGAUUAGACGAUAAAUACAACUUAUAAAAUUAGCAAAAACAAAAAAUCUACUAACAACGAUGACGCACGAUUGAAAAAAUAAAAAAGAAGGUACGUGAGUAGAAAUAUGAAAGAAUUAAAGGAUUUUCGAGGUCGACCUCAUUUUCUUUUUCUCUCCGUCUCUCCCUCCCUCUCCCUCUCACUGUACUCGAAGUAAAGUUCUCGUUCAAAAUAUACACACGAAAAGGAAAA
RNAcentral lists this long non-coding RNA (299 nucleotides) under Polistes fuscatus (common paper wasp). RNAcentral describes it as "uncharacterized LOC122517546". The record is from RNAcentral. Lineage: Eukaryota; Metazoa; Arthropoda; Insecta; Hymenoptera; Vespidae.